GCCAGACUCCUACGGGAGGCAGCAGUGGGGAAUAUUGCACAAUGGGGGAAACCCUGAUGCAGCGACGCCGCGUGAGUGAAGAAGUAAUUCGUUAUGUAAAGCUCUAUCAGCAGGGAAGAAAAUGACGGUACCUGAGUAAGAAGCCCCGGCUAACUACGUGCCAGCAGCCGCGGUAAUACGUAGGGGGCAAGCGUUAUCCGGAUUUACUGGGUGUAAAGGGAGCGUAGACGGCAGUGCAAGUCUGGAGUGAAAGGCGGGGGCAUAACCCCUGGACUGCACUGGGAACUGUCAGGCUGGAGUGCCGGAGGGGUAAGCGGAAUUCCUGGUGUAGCGGUGAAAUGCGUAGAUAUCAGGAGGAACACCGGUGGCGAAGGCGGCCUGCUGGACUGCAACUGACGUUGAGGCCCGAAAGCGUGGGGAGCAAACAGGAUUAGAUACCCGAGUA
RNAcentral lists this ribosomal RNA (445 nucleotides) under uncultured bacterium. Its description in RNAcentral is "bacterial SSU rRNA". It matches the Rfam family "Bacterial small subunit ribosomal RNA", at positions 330 to 792 of the family's 1533-position model. The record is from RNAcentral.